UACGGAGGAUGCAAGCGUUAUCCGGAAUGAUUGGGCGUAAAGCGUCCGUAGGUGGCUGUGUAAGUCUGCUGUUAAAGAGUGAGGCUCAACCUCAUAAAGGCAGUGGAAACUACAUGGCUAGAGUGCGUUCGGGGCAGAGGGAAUUCCUGGUGUAGCGGUGAAAUGCGUAGAUAUCAGGAAGAACACCGGUGGCGAAAGCGCUCUGCUAGGCCGCAACUGACACUGAGGGACGAAAGCUAGGGGAGCGAAUGGG
This 253-nucleotide ribosomal RNA is filed under the name uncultured bacterium. Its description in RNAcentral is "partial 16S ribosomal RNA". It matches the Rfam family "Bacterial small subunit ribosomal RNA", at positions 524 to 776 of the family's 1533-position model. The record is from RNAcentral.